AUUGAACGCUGGCGGCAGGCCUAACACAUGCAAGUCGAGCGGAUGAAGGGAGCUUGCUCCUGGAUUCAGCGGCGGACGGGUGAGUAAUGCCUAGGAAUCUGCCUGGUAGUGUGGGAUAACGUCCGGAAACGGGCGCUAAUACCGCAUACGUCCUGAGGGAGAAAGUGGGGGAUCUUCGGACCUCACGCUAUCAGAUGAGCCUAGGUCGGAUUAGCUAGUUGGUGGGGUAAAGGCCUACCAAGGCGACGAUCCGUAACUGGUCUGAGAGGAUGAUCAGUCACACUGGAACUGAGACACGGUCCAGACUCCUACGGGAGGCAGCAGUGGGGAAUAUUGGACAAUGGGCGCAAGCCUGAUCCAGCCAUGCCGCGUGUGUGAAGAAGGUCUUCGGAUUGUAAAGCACUUUAAGUUGGGAGGAAGGGCAGUAAGUUAAUACCUUGCUGUUUUGACGUUACCAACAGAAUAAGCACCGGCUAACUUCGUG
RNAcentral lists this ribosomal RNA (484 nucleotides) under uncultured bacterium. RNAcentral describes it as "partial 16S ribosomal RNA". It matches the Rfam family "Bacterial small subunit ribosomal RNA", at positions 30 to 507 of the family's 1533-position model. The record is from RNAcentral.